CGUACCCGUCAGCGUUGCCUCGGCGGGCGGCCCCUCCCUGGGGCCGCUGCCUCCCUCACGGGGGGUGCCCGCCGGCGUACCAAAACUCUUUUGUAUUUUAGUGGCCUCUCUGAGAAAACAAGCAAAUAAGUUAAAACUUUCAACAACGGAUCUCUUGGUUCUGGCAUCGAUGAAGAACGCAGCGAAAUGCGAUAAGUAAUGUGAAUUGCAGAAUUCAGUGAAUCAUCGAAUCUUUGAACGCACAUUGCGCCCGCUAGUAUUCUAGCGGGCAUGCCUGUUCGAGCGUCAUUUCAACCCUCAAGCCCUGCUUGGUGUUGGGGUCCUACGGCUGCCGUAGGCCCUGAAAACUAGUGGCGGGCUCGCUAUAACUCCGAGCGUAGUAGUAACAUAUCUCGCUAGGGAGGUGUCGCGGGUUCCGGCCGUGAAAGCCCCAUCUUUUACACAAGGUUGACCUCGGAUCAGGUAGGAAUACCCGCUGAACUUAAGCAUAUCAAUA
Molecule: ribosomal RNA, 496 nt
Filed under: Sordariomycetes sp. CJL-2014
Lineage: Eukaryota; Fungi; Ascomycota; Sordariomycetes
Description: eukaryotic LSU rRNA
Rfam family: 5.8S ribosomal RNA (bases 135-288)
Source: RNAcentral